Molecule: small nucleolar RNA, 220 nt
Filed under: Capitella teleta
Lineage: Eukaryota; Metazoa; Annelida; Polychaeta; Capitellidae
Description: small nucleolar RNA U3
Rfam family: Small nucleolar RNA U3
About the family: Small nucleolar RNAs (snoRNAs) are involved in the processing and modification of rRNA in the nucleolus.
Source: Rfam by way of RNAcentral
AAGAUCAUACUUUUAGGGAUCAUUUCUAUAGUAUGUAUCGCAAGGAAUUUCGGUAAAUCUGAAAUCCCAGCAUUCAACCACGAUGACGAGUUGAAGCAAGAUUUCCUGAGCGUGAAGCGGGCGUUCGGAGUUUCCUUCGGGAAACACGCCGAACGCCAUUGAGGAACGUUCCUCUCAGCCUUCGGGUUGAGCAGGAGGGAUCUCUUGCAUUCAGAGUGGU